UUGCUAUCUGCGAUAUGGAAGAUUCGAACCUGCCGCAGCUUCGGGUCUCACGUAGUGAGACAACGGAGCCGCUUGCGGCGACGGCCCGAAGGGCGAGCAAAGCGAGUCAUCCUGCACGACCCACCA
RNAcentral lists this small RNA (126 nucleotides) under Salmonella enterica subsp. enterica serovar Typhimurium. RNAcentral describes it as "RtT sRNA". It matches the Rfam family "RtT RNA". Rfam says of the family: This family represents a bacterial cis-regulatory element known as RtT RNA. The exact function of RtT is unknown although it is thought that it may be involved in changing the cellular response in relation to amino acid starvation. The record is from RNAcentral. Lineage: Bacteria; Pseudomonadati; Pseudomonadota; Gammaproteobacteria; Enterobacterales; Enterobacteriaceae.